RNAcentral lists this ribosomal RNA (254 nucleotides) under uncultured bacterium. RNAcentral's name for it is "partial 16S ribosomal RNA". It matches the Rfam family "Bacterial small subunit ribosomal RNA", at positions 524 to 776 of the family's 1533-position model. The record is from RNAcentral.
GACAGAGGGUGCAAACGUUGUUCGGAAUUAUUGGGCGUAAAGAGCUCGUAGGCGGUUCGGUAAGUCGGGUGUGAAACCUCCAGGCUCAACCUGGAGUCGCCACUCGAUACUGCUGUGACUAGAGUCCGGUAGGGGAGCGUGGAAUUCCUGGUGUAGCGGUGAAAUGCGCAGAUAUCAGGAGGAACACCAGCGGCGAAGGCGGCGCUCUGGGCCGGAACUGACGCUGAGGAGCGAAAGCGUGGGUAGCAAACAGG